GACGAACGCUGGCGGCGUGCCUAACACAUGCAAGUCGAACGGAAAGGCGCUGCUCUUGUGGGGCGCUCGUUUGGCGAGCGGGUGAGUAACACACGUGUAACCCGCCCCUGUCAUUGGGGUAACUUCAGGAAAAUCGGGCUCAUACCGGAUAGGAGCUCCUGCACCACGGGGUGGGAAGGUAAGAUUCGGCGGUUGGGGAUGGUCUCGCUGCUUAUCCGCUUCUUUGUGGGGUAGUUGUUUACCAAGGUUUAGACGGAUAGCCGGCCUGAGAGGGGGGACGGGCACAUUGGGCCUACGAGACGGACCAGAAGCCAACGGGAGGCAACAGUCGGGAACAUUGCGCAGUGGGCGGAAGCCUGAUGUAGCGACGCCGGGUGCGGGAUGACGUCCUACGGGUUGAGAACAGCUUUCGAAGGUGACGUAGAGUGAGUGACGGUAAUGAAUGAAGAAGCACCGGCUAACUACGUG
This 468-nucleotide ribosomal RNA is filed under the name uncultured bacterium. RNAcentral describes it as "partial 16S ribosomal RNA". It matches the Rfam family "Bacterial small subunit ribosomal RNA", at positions 28 to 507 of the family's 1533-position model. The record is from RNAcentral.